Molecule: transfer RNA, 77 nt
Filed under: Motiliproteus sp. MSK22-1
Lineage: Bacteria; Pseudomonadati; Pseudomonadota; Gammaproteobacteria; Oceanospirillales; Oceanospirillaceae
Description: tRNA-Pro
Rfam family: tRNA
About the family: Transfer RNA (tRNA) molecules are approximately 80 nucleotides in length. Their secondary structure includes four short double-helical elements and three loops (D, anti-codon, and T loops). Further hydrogen bonds mediate the characteristic L-shaped molecular structure. tRNAs have two regions of fundamental functional importance: the anti-codon, which is responsible for specific mRNA codon recognition, and the 3' end, to which the tRNAs corresponding amino acid is attached (by aminoacyl-tRNA synthetases). tRNAs cope with the degeneracy of the genetic code in two manners: having more than one tRNA (with a specific anti-codon) for a particular amino acid; and 'wobble' base-pairing, i.e. permitting non-standard base-pairing at the 3rd anti-codon position.
Source: RNAcentral
CGGCGUGUAGCGCAGCCUGGUAGCGCACAUCCUUCGGGAGGAUGGGGUCGAAGGUUCAAAUCCUUUCACGCCGACCA